ACUCCCUAGCCUGGUAAUUCCUACCCCUCCGUCCAAAACCCUUCAACUUAAACCCCUCAAAGAAUUGCGCCAAUCCAUUUUCCCCAUCUAUUCCUUCGCCUUCACGCUCCAUUACCGGACCUUCAAUGUCCCUACACUCCACACUCAAUGUCACAUUUCUUCGAAAUCUUAAUGGUCGUGAAACUGUUGAUGCUCUCCUUACCUAAUCUUCUUGAGUUUGUUAGCUUCUCUUCCGGCUCUAAACUUAGGGUAUGGGCUGUGGUCUCCUCUGUUAAUUUUACCUGGAAGUCCUUCUUUGGACUUUUAACGAGAAUAACUUCAUUAAGAAUAUUGCAUUGGAAGUUGUUUUUGCAAGGUUUCUCUCCCUCCGAAAUGAAGGCUUUUGCUUGGAAGCCUCAAUCCUAAUGGCUUGCUUCAAUUUCGUAGGCCGAAUCGUGCUUUGUCCCAAGGAAAGAGUCAUCUUAGGGCAAAGAAAGAAGAAUAAUAAAUAUAGCAAGGAAGAAACUGGGUUAAUUCUUCAAAAUAUAUCACAAGAAAGAGACAUCUUAGAGCGAGGAAAGAAGCAGGGGAAAUGUAUCAGGUUGGAAACCACAGGGCCAGUCAAAAAGGGUGAAAUUCGUAAAAAGAGCCAUCACAUUGCUCAGACAGUUGGCCUUCCUCCAUUGGUUAGUGCUCUACAAUCUUCAGCCAAACAAAAUGCUGCCAGUUUUCACUUCCCCGGUCACAACAGAGGUCAUGCUGCUCCACCUUCUUUAACUCAGCUCAUUGGUUUACAACCUUUUGUUCAUGAUUUACCAGAACUUCCUGAGCUUGACAAUCUCUUUUCUCCGGAGGGACCAAUUUUAGAGGCACAGAAGCAAGCGGCCAAACUUUUUGGAUCAUCAGAGACAUGGUUUCUUGUUGGAGGUACCACUUGUGGAAUACAAGCAGCCAUAAUGGCUACUUGUUCUCCUGGAGAAUAUCUGAUUCUCCCUCGGAAUUCUCAUAUGUCAGCUAUUUCUGCUAUGGUUUUAUCUGGGGCAAUACCUAUGUACAUUAUUCCUGAAUAUGAUUAUGAGUGGGACAUUGCUGGUGGGGUCACUCCAUCACAGGUAGAAGAAGCAAUUAAGGAAUUGGAAUUGAAAGGCUGCAAAGCAGCAGCCGUUUUGGUCACUUCUCCUACAUAUCAUGGUAUUUGCAGCAACUUGAGUGAAAUUUCCAAGCUUUGUCACUCUCAUGGAAUUCCUCUGAUUGUUGAUGAGGCUCAUGGGGCACAUUUAGGAUUUCAUCAGCAGCUGCCUCAAUCAGCCCUUCAACAAGGGGCUGAUAUAGCUGUACAAUCCACUCACAAAGUUCUGUGUUCUCUUACACAGUCAUCAAUGUUGCACUUGUCAGGGAAUAAUGUAAAUAGAGAAAGAAUAAGUAGGUGCCUUCAGACCCUCCAAAGCUCUAGCCCUAGUUACCUUCUUUUAGCAUCUCUAGAUGCAGCUAGAGCUCAGCUUUGUGAGAACCCAGAAACCAUUUUUAACAAAGCAUUGGACUUGGCUACUGAAGCUAAACUUUUGGUAAAAAAGAUUACAGGCAUCUCAGUGCUUGAUUUUCCAAGUUUCACUAGCUUUCCCGCAAUUGAUCCUCUGCGGCUUACUACUGGGUUUUGGCAGCUUGGUCUAUCUGGUUAUGAAGCAGAUGAAAUUCUAUAUUCAUAUGGAAGCAUAAUCUGUGAACUUGUUGGGAUCCGGUCUACUACUUUUGCAAUCAAUCUUGGAACUUGUCGAGAUCACAUUGAAAGGUUAGUAAGAGGAAUGGAGCACUUAUCAGCAACUUUCAUAUCUAUUCAGAAAAUUGAGGAGAAAGUAGCUUCUGAAAAUUUGGCACCUUUUGCUGAUAUUACUAUCAGCUUAAACCCAAGGGAUGCAUUCUUUUCAAGUAAAAGGAAAAUAAAUAUUGAGGAGAGUGUUGGAAAGGUUUGUGGGGAGCUGAUAUGUCCUUAUCCACCUGGGAUUCCUUUAAUGAUUCCUGGUGAAUCAAUUACUAAGGCAGCUUUAGAUUAUCUUCUGUAUGUUAAAAGCAAGGGUGCGAUCAUUACUGGUGCUUCUGAUCCUUUUCUGUCUUCGAUUGUUGUCUGUGAUGGUUAGUUCAUGGCAUACCUAUGAUAAUUCCGUAAUAGCAAGAGCAUGAGGAACAAUUUGCAAGUGGUGAUUUUAGUGCCAUGAAUAUCAACACACCAAAAGGAGACAGCAUUGUGGAGUCUUUUCCUUAAUAAAGGUGGAUGUAUAGUUUCGAAAGGUGAUAAAAGCAUUGCAGGGAGAUAAAACGCCUUACUUGAAAUUGUUUAGCGCAUUCAUUAUUGUAUUCAUAUGGGAUUGGAGGUUUAGUUUGAUGUAAACCGAGCAUCUGUGCGUAAAAUAUUCAACAAGAGAAGGUAUUGCUCGGCCGGGAGGUGAUCAUGAUCGCGUAAAUGACUUUACUAUCUACUAUAUGUGUCAUUAUAUUGGUAGACCCAAAACAUACAUUAUUAGAGUUUGUUGAGCCCAAAAAUGUACGUGAUUGGAUCUGUUAGAAAUUAAAAAUUUAGUUGUGGAGCCAUCGUGGAAAAUAUUUUUACGUCAAUAUGUAUUCAUCAUUGUAUGUAGUUCUUUCCAGUAAAGGAAAUUAUUAGUAGAUGUGGGGAAGGUAAUAAAAAGUCUGUCUUGAUCAA
Molecule: non-coding RNA, 2677 nt
Organism: Carica papaya (papaya)
Lineage: Eukaryota; Viridiplantae; Streptophyta; Magnoliopsida; Brassicales; Caricaceae
Source: RefSeq, a predicted model, not a curated record